This 1428-nucleotide ribosomal RNA is filed under the name Triticum aestivum (bread wheat). Its description in RNAcentral is "partial small subunit ribosomal RNA". Lineage: Eukaryota; Viridiplantae; Streptophyta; Magnoliopsida; Poales; Poaceae. The record is from RNAcentral.
AUGGCCGCGGCGGCGCCGCCCCGGCGCAUCGGCAGGUCUACCGUCCACAUGGACGGCGGCGGCGCCGACAGGCCGACGCCGGCGAUUGAUGGUGUAGGCGGCACGUCCUCUGGCGCCGGGGCUGGGCGGCGGCCGGGCAUCGACCUCUUCUCGGGGCCGGUAUGUGCCGCCGUGUUCGUCUCCUUUGCGCUCUGCAUCGUCGCCUUCUGCGUCUACUCCUUCCUCGCUCGUCGCCGCGCCAUCUUCGACGCCCGCCGCAGGUUCCUCGGCCGCGUGCGCGACAACUUCAACCGCCUCUCCGAAUGGUCAACCGACGGGCCAGUGCCACGGUCUCCUCCAGCAGCGACACCUCCAGCAUCAGUGACAACGGCCGACCGCGUUGACGAGCCACCACCUCCAGUAGCGACCACACCCCCCGGCUGUGACGUGCCACCGCCGCCUCCAGGAGCGAGAACGGCCACCUGCGAUGACAUGCCACCGCGUCGUGGACCAGCGCCGGCCCGCCCUGCACGGGGAGACACCUCCAACUCUCGCCUCGGUAACUGCCCGGUGUGCCUCGAGCCAUUACAUGGGCGUACCAACAUUAUGGCGGCGCAUGAGUGCGCCCAUGUGUUCCACGCGUCUUGCAUUGAGCCAUGGCUCCACAACAGGGGCUCCUGCCCCGUGUGCCAGUACACCGCCAUCCCCACCUCCAUCCCCAUCCCUGACCCCGCCUCCGCCUCCACCUCCACCUCCAUCGGCGACUGUCCGGUGUGCCUCGAGCCCUUGCUCCUUGAUUGUGGCGAUGUCAGGGCGGCACAUGCUUGCGGUCAUGUGUUUCACUCGUGUUGCAUUGAGCCGUGGCUCAACCAACAAGGCUCAUGCCCCGUGUGCCGGUGCACUGUCAACUCAACCUUCAUGUCCACCUCCACCUCCAUCCCUACCCCCACCACUACCUCUACCACCAACUCCACCCCUAUCUCCGACACCAUCGGCUACUGCCCGGUGUGCCUUGAGCCUUUGCGUGCUGGUAGUGGCGACAUCAGGGCGGCACACGCAUGCGGACAUGUGUUCCACUCACGAUGCAUUGAGCGGUGGGUACGUCGACGGGGCUCAUGCCCUGUGUGUCGGUGCACUGUCCGCUUCAACCCCAACUCCACCUACAACCUCACCUCCAUGUCCACCUCCAACCCCACCACAAACACUAACCCCACCUACAUCCCCACCUCCAUCCCCACCCACACCCCCACCCCAAACUCUACCUCCAACUCCGGCCCCGUCGGCGAAUGUCCGGUGUGCCUCGAGCCCUUAAGCGUUGGUGGUGGCGACAUGAAGGCAGCUCAUGUAUGCGGCCACGUGUUCCACUCCCGCUGCAUCGAGCGUUGGCUACGCCACCGCAACUCCUGUCCCGUGUGUCGUUGCACUGUCACGUGCAGUCACAACCCGUGA